RNAcentral lists this ribosomal RNA (239 nucleotides) under Fusarium equiseti. RNAcentral's name for it is "partial 28S ribosomal RNA". Lineage: Eukaryota; Fungi; Ascomycota; Sordariomycetes; Hypocreales; Nectriaceae. The record is from RNAcentral.
AAAAGAGAGUUAAAAAGUACGUGAAAUUGUUGAAAGGGAAGUGUUUAUGACCAGACUUGGGCUUGGUUAAUCAUCUGGGGUUCUCCCCAGUGCACUUUUCCAGUCCAGGCCAGCAUCAGUUUUCGCCGGGGGAUAAAGGCUUCGGGAAUGUGGCUCNCUCCGGGGAGUGUUAUAGCCCGUUGCGUAAUACCCUGGCGGGGACUGAGGUUCGCGCAUCUGCAAGGAUGCUGGCGUAAUGG